This 231-nucleotide unclassified non-coding RNA is filed under the name uncultured Clitopilus. Its description in RNAcentral is "sequence contains ITS1". Lineage: Eukaryota; Fungi; Basidiomycota; Agaricomycetes; Agaricales; Entolomataceae. The record is from RNAcentral.
AUGAAUAAAUUUGGUCAAGCUGUUGCUGGUCCUUCGGGGCAUGUGCACGUUUGCCACCAACUUUAACCACCUGUGCACUCUUUGUAGACUGGAAACGUUUCUCGGGGCAACUCGGAUUGAGAACUGCUGUGUGCAAACCAGCUGUUCUUGUGUUUCUCAGUCUAUGUUUUCAUAUACGCCUUAGUAUGUAUUAGAAUGUAUUGCUAGGCCUUAGUGCCUUUAAAUCAAAUA